Molecule: non-coding RNA, 47 nt
Organism: Pteropus alecto (black flying fox)
Lineage: Eukaryota; Metazoa; Chordata; Mammalia; Chiroptera; Pteropodidae
Source: Rfam
CCAAAGGCUCUUUUCAGAGCCACCUCACUUGUCACGAAAAGACCUGU